AUUACACAAAUAUGAAGGCGGGCUGGAACCUCUCGGGGUUACAGCCUUGCUGAAUUAUUCACCCUUGUCUUUUGCGUACUUCUUGUUUCCUUGGUGGGUUCGCCCACCACUAGGACAAACAUAAACCUUUUGUAAUUGCAAUCAGCGUCAGUAACAAAUUAAUAAUUACAACUUUCAACAACGGAUCUCUUGGUUCUGGCAUCGAUGAAGAACGCAGCGAAAUGCGAUAAGUAGUGUGAAUUGCAGAAUUCAGUGAAUCAUCGAAUCUUUGAACGCACAUUGCGCCCUUUGGUAUUCCAAAGGGCAUGCCUGUUCGAGCGUCAUUUGUACCCUCAAGCUUUGCUUGGUGUUGGGCGUCUUGUCUCUAGCUUUGCUGGAGACUCGCCUUAAAGUAAUUGGCAGCCGGCCUACUGGUUUCGGAGCGCAGCACAAGUCGCACUCUCUAUCAGCAAAGGUCUAGCAUCCAUUAAGCCUUUUUUUCAACUUUUGACCUCGGAUCAGGUAGGGAUACCCGCUGAACUUAAGCAUAUCAAUAAGCGGAGGAAAAGAAACCAACAGGGAUUGCCCUAGUAACGGCGAGUGAAGCGGCAACAGCUCAAAUUUGAAAUCUGGCUCUUUUAGAGUCCGAGUUGUAAUUUGCAGAGGGCGCUUUGGCUUUGGCAGCGGUCCAAGUUCCUUGGAACAGGACGUCACAGAGGGUGAGAAUCCCGUACGUGGUCGCUGGCUAUUGCCGUGUAAAGCCCCUUCGACGAGUCGAGUUGUUUGGGAAUGCAGCUCUAAAUGGGAGGUACAUUUCUUCUAAAGCUAAAUAUUGGCCAGAGACCGAUAGCGCACAAGUAGAGUGAUCGAAAGAUGAAAAGCACUUUGGAAAGAGAGUCAAACAGCACGUGAAAUUGUUGAAAGGGAAGCGCUUGCAGCCAGACUUGCUUACAGUUGCUCAUCCGGGUUUCUACCCGGUGCACUCUUCUGUAGGCAGGCCAGCAUCAGUUUGGGCGGUAGGAUAAAGGUCUCUGUCACGUACCUCCUUUCGGGGAGGCCUUAUAGGGGAGACGACAUACUACCAGCCUGGACUGA
Molecule: non-coding RNA, 1074 nt
Filed under: fungal endophyte
Lineage: Eukaryota; Fungi
Also listed under: 1 other name
Description: eukaryotic LSU rRNA
Rfam family: Eukaryotic large subunit ribosomal RNA (bases 488-1074)
Source: RNAcentral